GACGAACGCUGGGGGCGUGCCUAAUACAUGCAAGUAGAACGCUGAAGAGAGGAGCUUGCUCUUCUUGGAUGAGUUGCGAACGGGUGAGUAACGCGUAGGUAACCUGCCUUGUAGCGGGGGAUAACUAUUGGAAACGAUAGCUAACACCGCAUAACAAUGGAUGACACAUGUCAUUUAUUUGAAAGGGGCAAUUGCUCCACUACAAGAUGGACCUGCGUUGUAUUAGCUAGUAGGUGAGGUAAUGGCUCACCUAGGCGACGAUACAUAGCCGACCUGAGAGGGUGAUCGGCCACACUGGGACUGAGACACGGCCCAGACUCCUACGGGAGGCAGCAGUAGGGAAUCUUCGGCAAUGGGGGCAACCCUGACCGAGCAACGCCGCGUGAGUGAAGAAGGUUUUCGGAUCGUAAAGCUCUGUUGUAAGUCAAGAACGGGUGUGAGAGUGGAAAGUUCACACUGUGACGGUAGCUUACCAGAAAGGGACGGCUAACUACGUG
RNAcentral lists this ribosomal RNA (497 nucleotides) under uncultured bacterium. RNAcentral's name for it is "partial 16S ribosomal RNA". It matches the Rfam family "Bacterial small subunit ribosomal RNA", at positions 28 to 507 of the family's 1533-position model. The record is from RNAcentral.